Molecule: long non-coding RNA, 741 nt
Filed under: Paramuricea clavata
Lineage: Eukaryota; Metazoa; Cnidaria; Anthozoa; Malacalcyonacea; Plexauridae
Source: RNAcentral
CAUGGCCAGAAAUUGCGGACAUGGAUUCUGAGCAUGUGCGAACUUUGACAAACAAAAUGGCGGAUUUGUUAUAUAUAAAUCAUUAGGAGUGGCGCGGUUUUUUUUAAUUUAAACUUGUUUGAUAAUAGCUAUGUCAUUUGCAGACUUCGCAAUAAUAUAAACCCUAUCUGGACCGUAGAACAGAAAAGUUUCGCAUCGAAAUCUUACCUAUAAGUUGUUCCAUUAUUCAAGUUCACUUCAUAGUACAUCGGCGUAUAAUAAAGUAUAGUAAAACUUGAGAAAAUCGUUGAAAACGUACAUUUUGCUCUGGCCGCAUGUAUCCCUCGAACCCUUCAUGAAAUUUGCAGACUUCGCGUCGUAUAAUAUAUGUUGUCCCCUGCUUGUCUGCAUAAUUUCAUAGUGAUACGAAUUUUUUUACUUGUUCCAAUUUACGGGACAAAAUGUUGAUAUUUUACACAUAAAUACCCUGUCCAUAGGCCGUAAAACAUUGCAAGAAGAACGAUGUUUCAUGAAUUGUCGUCCAUGUUUGAUAUCAACAAGAAGCUUAGGAACCAGGCUUUCUUCCAGUGUGGGUUACACGGAGGGAUAGCGAUGUAUACACAAAAUAUUUGAGUCGUUUACCAUGCGCAUCACUUUAUAUCCCAUCAUAAUAAAUGAAAGGUAUGUAAAAGGCCGACAAUUCCUAAUAUAUCUAUUUUCCUGCUUUAGCUAAACAAAAAACUAAGCAAAAUGUGUUUUUUU